Molecule: ribosomal RNA, 406 nt
Filed under: uncultured bacterium
Lineage: Bacteria
Description: partial 16S ribosomal RNA
Rfam family: Bacterial small subunit ribosomal RNA
Source: RNAcentral
AUUGAACGCUGGCGGCAGGCCUAACACAUGCAAGUCGAACGAGUGGCGGACGGGUGAGUCAUGUCUGGGAAACUGCCUGUUGGAGGGGGAUAACUGCUGGAAACGGUAGCUAAUACCGCAUACCAUCAGAUGUGCCCAGAUGGGAUUAGCUUGUUGGUGGGGAAACGGCUCACCAAGGCGACGAUCCCUAGCUGUUCGGAGAGGAUGACGAGCCACACUGGAACUGAGACACUGUCAAGAUUCCUACGGGAGGCAGCAUUGGGGAAUAUCGGAAAAGGGGCGAAAGCCUGAUGAAGCAAUGCCGCGUGGAUGAAGAAGGCCUUGGGUGUGUAAAGUAUUUUCAUCGGGGAGGCGUUACCUGCAGAAGAAGCACCGGCUAACUCCGUGCCAGCAGCCGCGGUAAUAC